UAACUGAGUCAAAAGAUGAAUGUUUGAAAAGUCUUCCUUUUUGUAGCCAGCCAGAGCCAGGAACGAAAUAUGAGAGCACAAAAUGGCAGCCAGGACUUCAUUCCUAUUGACAAGAAUCUAACGAUAAAUGACUCGAAAAACACUCUUUCCAAUCAUAUGGAAUUUACAUUAUUUCGAUAAUCUGAUUAGGAAUUCGAAUUUUAGGUAGAUAGUGGAUUUACCCGAUUGAUUCUUAUUUCUUAAUUCCAGAGAUUGGAAAAAAUCGAUAUGUUUAUUAAUAAAUUUAUGUUCAGAUAAUUCA
This is a non-coding RNA of Cinara cedri, 301 nucleotides long. The record is from the annotation of a GenBank genome assembly. NCBI's taxonomy places the organism in Eukaryota, Metazoa, Arthropoda, Insecta, Hemiptera, Aphididae.